AGCGAACGCUGGCGGCAGGCCUAAUACAUGCAAGUCGAGCGGCCACUUCGGUGGCAGCGGCGGACGGGUGAGUAACGCGUGGGAAUAUGCCCUUUGGUACGGAACAACUGAGGGAAACUUCAGCUAAUACCGUAUGUGCCCUUCGGGGGGAAAGAUUUAUCGCCAUUGGAGUAGCCCGCGUUGGAUUAGGUAGUUGGUGA
Molecule: ribosomal RNA, 200 nt
Filed under: uncultured bacterium
Lineage: Bacteria
Description: partial 16S ribosomal RNA
Rfam family: Bacterial small subunit ribosomal RNA
Source: RNAcentral